GAAAAUGAGGUCACUUGUUCCCUUGCCUCCUGCUUUCCUCUGUCAGCAGCACUCCUGGAAAUCCCUCCAGGUCACCUGGAGCGGCUCCAACUCUUCCUCAGUGGCUGCCAACGACUCUAUGGUCUUUAAUGUUAAGCUGGAAUUUCCCCUCCUACUUUCUCCGAGGACUCUGACCCUGGCAGGGACAGAGAACUCCCCCUGUGCCCUGGGAGGACGGUGUGGCGUGGCGGUGGGAGACCAGAAGCCUGCAGACCCAGGUCCUAGGCAGACGAUGGGAAGAGAGCUGGAGAUAAUGAAGGUGGGCCCAGCGGAACCCCAGUGGUCCUGAUGAGGGGGACAAAGGAUGGUCAGAGGAUGGAAGUGGAGGCCUGAGUGAUGUGGCCACCAGGCAAGGAAUGCAGGUAGACUCUAGAAGAUGGAAAAGGCAAGGAAAUGGAUUCUUCCCUGGAAUCUCCAGAAAGAAACACAGCCCUGCUGACACCUUGAUUUUAUCCUUGUGAGACCCUCUGACGUCCAGAACUGUAAGGCAACAAACCUGUGUUAUUGUAAGCUG
Molecule: long non-coding RNA, 553 nt
Organism: Phyllostomus discolor (pale spear-nosed bat)
Lineage: Eukaryota; Metazoa; Chordata; Mammalia; Chiroptera; Phyllostomidae
Exons: 2
Source: RefSeq, a predicted model, not a curated record